This 357-nucleotide ribosomal RNA is filed under the name uncultured bacterium. Its description in RNAcentral is "bacterial SSU rRNA". It matches the Rfam family "Bacterial small subunit ribosomal RNA", at positions 29 to 412 of the family's 1533-position model. The record is from RNAcentral.
AAUGGACGCUGGCGGCAGGCCUAAACAUGCAAGUCGAGCGCCCUAGCAAUAGGGAGCGGCGCACGGGUGAGUAACACGUGGGAAUAUGCCUUUUGGUACGGAACAACCUCGGGAAACUGAGGCUAAUACCGUAUGGUCCCGUUCGGGGUAAAGAUUUAUCGCCAAAAGAGUAGCCCGCGUUGGAUUAGCUAGUUGGUAAGGUAACGGCUUACCAAGGCGACGAUCCAUAGCUGGUCUGAGAGGACGAUCAGCCACACUGGGACUGAGACACGGCCCAGACUCCUACGGGAGGCAGCAGUUAGGAAUAUUGGACAAUGGGCGGCAAGCCUGAUCCAGCCAUGCCGCGUGAGUGAUGAA